AGAUUGAACGCUGGCGGCAUGCCUUACACAUGCAAGUCGAACGGCAGCACGGGAGCAAUCCUGGUGGCGAGUGGCGAACGGGUGAGUAAUAUAUCGGAACGUGCCCAGUCGUGGGGGAUAACGCAGCGAAAGCUGUGCUAAUACCGCAUACGAUCUCUGGAUGAAAGCGGGGGACCUGCAAGGGCCUCGCGCGAUUGGAGCGGCCGAUAUCAGAUUAGCUAGUUGGUGGGGUAAAAGCCUACCAAGGCGACGAUCUGUAGCUGGUCUGAGAGGACGACCAGCCACACUGGAACUGAGACACGGUCCAGACUCCUACGGGAGGCAGCGAGUGGGAAGUUUUGGAACAUGGGUCGCGAAGCCUGAUCCAGCAAUGCCGCGUGCAGGAUGAAGUCCGUU
Molecule: ribosomal RNA, 396 nt
Filed under: uncultured soil bacterium
Lineage: Bacteria
Description: bacterial SSU rRNA
Rfam family: Bacterial small subunit ribosomal RNA
Source: RNAcentral